AACGAACGCUGGCGGCAUGCCUAACACAUGCAAGUCGAACGAGACCUUCGGGUCUAGUGGCGCACGGGUGCGUAACGCGUGGGAACCUGCCCUUAGGUUCGGAAUAACUCCCCGAAAGGGGUGCUAAUACCGGAUAAUGUCCUCGGACCAAAGAUUUAUCGCCUUUGGAUGGGCCCGCGUUGGAUUAGCUAGUUGGUAGGGUAAAAGCCUACCAAGGCGACGAUCCAUAGCUGGUCUGAGAGGAUGAUCAGCCACACUGGGACUGAGACACGGCCCAGACCCCUACGGGAGGCAGCAGUGGGGAAUAUUGGACAAUGGGCGAAAGCCUGAUCCAGCAAUGCCGCGUGAGUGAUGAAGGCCUUAGGGUUGUAAAGCUCUUUUACCCGGGAUGAUAAUGACAGUACCGGGAGAAUAAGCUCCGGCUAACUCCGUG
This 433-nucleotide ribosomal RNA is filed under the name uncultured bacterium. RNAcentral's name for it is "partial 16S ribosomal RNA". It matches the Rfam family "Bacterial small subunit ribosomal RNA", at positions 29 to 507 of the family's 1533-position model. The record is from RNAcentral.